Molecule: small nucleolar RNA, 78 nt
Organism: Rosa chinensis
Lineage: Eukaryota; Viridiplantae; Streptophyta; Magnoliopsida; Rosales; Rosaceae
Source: RefSeq, a predicted model, not a curated record
CUGCGUGAUGAAAUACAGGAGAGGCAGCACCCGAUUGACCAGAGAAAGAUGUGGCAAAACGUCCACUACUAUCUGGAA